UGUUAAAAAUUUCAUUCACUUUCAUUAAAAACUGAUGUGGUUAAUGGGAUAAUUAAACAAUGAUACGUGAUGUGCUAGUGUAUUUCACGCUAACAUAUAAAGACUAGUUUUUUAUAGUAAAAAUUGAUGAAAUUUUUAACA
This 141-nucleotide microRNA precursor is filed under the name Gossypium arboreum. RNAcentral's name for it is "MIR7502 microRNA precursor family". It matches the Rfam family "MIR7502 microRNA precursor family". The record is from Rfam by way of RNAcentral. Lineage: Eukaryota; Viridiplantae; Streptophyta; Magnoliopsida; Malvales; Malvaceae.